This 374-nucleotide long non-coding RNA is filed under the name Serinus canaria (Common canary). RNAcentral describes it as "lncRNA (ENSSCAG00000010223.1)". Lineage: Eukaryota; Metazoa; Chordata; Aves; Passeriformes; Fringillidae. The record is from RNAcentral.
AAUGGCUGCUCUAAAACGCCUUGGUGUAAACAACCCGGGGAAGGACUUCCUUGAACUGCCAGUUACCUGAGCGCCAUCCAUCUCACUAAAGCGUCUGCCCCAAGAGGGGUAGUACCGCCAGGAAAGAAAACAAAUAAAAGACACCCAGCAUGUCGCAGCGCAGGCACAGGGUGGGGAAUGCUGUCCCCUGGAGGGGCUGAGGGAUCCUCAGCAAGGUCCAAGAGAAGACUGCUACCCUGCUGUGGUGCAUAGAAUGAAGAAAACUGCCUUCCUGCUCCCUCCACGUGCCUCCAGUUCAGCUGCUCCCAGUCCACGAGGAGUCGUUGGCACUUGAUGUUGCUAAAUGUAUGUAAGACUUUGCUUUCAGCCUCACC